UACGAAGGGAGCUAGCGUUGUUCGGAAUCACUGGGCGUAAAGCGCACGUAGGCGGACUUGUAAGUCAGGGGUGAAAUCCCGGGGCUCAACCUCGGAACUGCCUCUGAUACUGCAAGUCUUGAGUCCGGAAGAGGUGAGUGGAAUUCCUAGUGUAGAGGUGAAAUUCGUAGAUAUUUGGAGGAACACCGGUGGCGAAGGCGGCCCCCUGGUCCGGUACUGACGCUGAGGUGCGAAAGCCUGGGGAGCAAACGGG
This 253-nucleotide ribosomal RNA is filed under the name uncultured prokaryote. RNAcentral describes it as "partial 16S ribosomal RNA". It matches the Rfam family "Bacterial small subunit ribosomal RNA", at positions 524 to 776 of the family's 1533-position model. The record is from RNAcentral.